RNAcentral lists this ribosomal RNA (1342 nucleotides) under uncultured bacterium. RNAcentral's name for it is "16S ribosomal RNA". It matches the Rfam family "Bacterial small subunit ribosomal RNA", at positions 28 to 1378 of the family's 1533-position model. The record is from RNAcentral.
GACGAACGCUGGCGGCGUGCUUAACACAUGCAAGUCGAACGGAAAGGCCCUGCUUUUGUGGGGUGCUCGAGUGGCGAACGGGUGAGUAACACGUGAGUAACCUGCCCUUGACUUUGGGAUAACUUCAGGAAACUGGGGCUAAUACCGGAUAGGAGCUCCUGCUGCAUGGUGGGGGUUGGAAAGUUUCGGCGGUUGGGGAUGGACUCGCGGCUUAUCAGCUUGUUGGUGGGGUAGUGGCUUACCAAGGCUUUGACGGGUAGCCGGCCUGAGAGGGUGACCGGCCACAUUGGGACUGAGAUACGGCCCAGACUCCUACGGGAGGCAGCAGUGGGGAAUAUUGCACAAUGGGCGGAAGCCUGAUGCAGCAACGCCGCGUGCGGGAUGACGGCCUUCGGGUUGUAAACCGCUUUCGCCUGUGACGAAGCGUGAGUGACGGUAAUGGGUAAAGAAGCACCGGCUAACUACGUGCCAGCAGCCGCGGUGAUACGUAGGGUGCGAGCGUUGUCCGGAUUUAUUGGGCGUAAAGGGCUCGUAGGUGGUUGAUCGCGUCGGAAGUGUAAUCUUGGGGCUUAACCCUGAGCGUGCUUUCGAUACGGGUUGACUUGAGGAAGGUAGGGGAGAAUGGAAUUCCUGGUGGAGCGGUGGAAUGCGCAGAUAUCAGGAGGAACACCAGUGGCGAAGGCGGUUCUCUGGGCCUUUCCUGACGCUGAGGAGCGAAAGCGUGGGGAGCGAACAGGCUUAGAUACCCUGGUAGUCCACGCUGUAAACGGUGGGUACUAGGUGUGGGGUCCAUUCCACGGGUUCCGUGCCGUAGCUAACGCUUUAAGUACCCCGCCUGGGGAGUACGGCCGCAAGGCUAAAACUCAAAGGAAUUGACGGGGCCCCGCACAAGCGGCGGAGCAUGCGGAUUAAUUCGAUGCAACGCGUAGAACCUUACCUGGGUUUGACAUGGAUCGGGAGUGCUCAGAGAUGGGUGUGCCUCUUUUGGGGUCGGUUCACAGGUGGUGCAUGGCUGUCGUCAGCUCGUGUCGUGAGAUGUUGGGUUAAGUCCCGCAACGAGCGCAACCCUUGUUCACUGUUGCCAGCACGUUAUGGUGGGGACUCAGUGGAGACCGCCGGGGUCAACUCGGAGGAAGGUGGGGAUGACGUCAAGUCAUCAUGCCCCUUAUGUCCAGGGCUUCACGCAUGCUACAAUGGCUGGUACAGAGAGUGGCGAGCCUGUGAGGGUGAGCGAAUCUCGGAAAGCCGGUCUCAGUUCGGAUUGGGUCUGCAACUCGACCUCAUGAAGUCGGAGUCGCUAGUAAUCGCAGAUCAGCAACGCUGCGGUGAAUACGUUCCCGGG